This 1131-nucleotide long non-coding RNA is filed under the name Musa acuminata (dwarf banana). RNAcentral's name for it is "long non-coding RNA (MACU_LNC006716)". The record is from RNAcentral. Lineage: Eukaryota; Viridiplantae; Streptophyta; Magnoliopsida; Zingiberales; Musaceae.
GCACAUGUAUUUUAUAGAUGAACAAUGUAAGAAAGUGUUUGAUGAAUUUACCACCUACACAAAGUAGUCCUCCAUGACUCGAUGACUUCAAAUGGAUUAGACCAUCCAAGCAAGAGCACCAUGUCUUGAUCGGGUGGCAUCCAUCGGUUUGCUUCGCGGUGUAGAUUUGUCAUUCCAUGCCAACUACAUAUCCCAAUUCAUUGCAAGAGAUAAUGAGAGUAUCUUCCUCACAGUGAGUGCAUGGAAUUGGAUACAAGCUUCUGCAACCUUUGUCUUAAUUAGAGCCUGGUAUUGGUCAUGUUGCAUAAGGAUACCUUCACACACAAUACAAAAAAAAGAUCCAAAACUUACCAUGUGGAAAUGGAUUCUCUUCAGGGGCCACAUUUGUCUCUUCAAGUUCUCAAAGGUCACUAUCAGUUUCAAUUAGCAUCAGAACAGAAAGAAGGGCCACCUAGAAGAAAGGGGCAUGCCCAAGCCUAAAUCUAUGUAAUAAACAUAUGUUUCUAAUUACAAUAGGAAGAAGAAAACAAGACACAUAGCAGUGUCCUCAAAGCUAAUUUGUGCAUUUCAGAAACAAAGAAGAGCCAUUGAGAAAUAAAACUUCCUUUAAUCAAGUGUAUGAUACUGUAAGUGGCAAGAAUGCACAUUACCAAUUUCUUCUCCUAGCAUAAAUAUCCAAAUAUUAACUUCAAAUGCACUGCAAAUAGUUCUUUAAAGCACUUAAACCAUUAUGUUCCGAGAAUUGAAUGCUCGAAUUUAAGAGCGAUCGCUAUAAGCAUCUGGAUAGACGAGCUUUUAUCUGGAUGCAUCUUAUAUAUCUGAAUUAUGAAUCAACUGCUUGUUAGAGAUUCCAAAUAACAAUUUGCAUUUCAACAAGAUGCUCCAUCUUGCUGAUAUUGAACCUGAAAUCAGAAAACCUAGCAUGAGGCAAAUCUCAUCUGUGUGAAGAGGAAGAUGCAUAAGAAUACCAUGAAACUCAUUCUGCUUUUCUACCUGAUUUGGUGACAUGAAGGCAAGUGAUAUGAGGUGCAUUUAACCCCAGGUUUACAUGCAUAUUAUUCACUGACUGCUAGUACAGAGAACUCUCUGCAUUAUACAACAAUCAGAUGAAGAAAAUGAAUAUGUUGCAGC